RNAcentral lists this long non-coding RNA (312 nucleotides) under Citrus sinensis (sweet orange). Its description in RNAcentral is "long non-coding RNA (CSIN_LNC004696)". The record is from RNAcentral. Lineage: Eukaryota; Viridiplantae; Streptophyta; Magnoliopsida; Sapindales; Rutaceae.
AACGGUAUAUGGCUUGCACUUUAAUUCUGGCUCAAUCAAUACAGUUUUUAUUCCGAAUUUGACCUUUCUGCAUUUGAUACAACUUGUGUAUUUGGCUGCCCAAUGACUUGAAUAAUGCCCACAAUGCCUUGUCUUCUCUUCAAGCCCAAUUCAUGAUGUCUUGCAUCUUGAAUUGCAUUUUCAAUCCAUAUUUUCUCAAUUAAUCCAUUUAAAGUAGCUUGCAUAUUUUUGGCUCUUGCUCUUGUAAUUGGGCCUCCAUGAAUGUGCAAAGGAUCACUUGAAGUUUUAAUGGUCCCUUGAUGGUUCUCAUCA